CAUUUUACUGGCCUCAGAGGAAAAGAGAGAAGUACAUUCAAAAUAUCAAUCAGAACUGAAAAGCAAAAAUGGUCCUCAAAUGUGUAUAAUACAAAUGUUUAAAAGGUUUUACAAAUUUGUGAUUUUAUUUUUUAUUUUGAAAAAAAUAAAAAUCUACAGAAAAUUUACAAUAGUACAAUAUCCUUUUUCUCUCUAAGCGUAUGCACACACACACAUUUUUGCUGAACAUUUUAUUUAUUUGUUUUAAACAUUUAUUUGUUUUUGAGAGGGUACGUAUGCACAAGCAAAGGAGGGAUAGAGAGAGAGACACAGAAUCCGAAGCAGGUUCCAGGUUCUGAGCUGUCAGCACAGAGCCCAACUUGAACUGUGAGAUCAGGACCUGAGCCAAAGCCAGACAUCCAACCAAUGGAGCCACAUAGGCGCUCCACUGAACAUUUUAGAGGGAAAGGCAGGUCUAAAACUUCAUAGAACUGAUGGGUCAGAGAAAAAAAAAACCAGAAGGAGACUGGUCAGGAAGUUAUUGAAGAAGUCUACCAAGGAGGGCUAUAAAAGGAAAUGUAGGAGAUGAAAGAAAAGUAUUAAUUGGAAGCAACCUCAAUGUCUAAAAAGAGGAAGGAUAAAAUUAUGAUACCCUAACUCAAUGAAAUUUAUAAACAUACUUAAUAUGAAAAUUAGACAUGGACAGGAAAACAAAACAUGACUUAAUUUGGACUGAGAUCAGAAGACAAGCCAAAAAUUAAACUAGAUGCAGGAUAGCAGUAAAAUUAUGUUUCUCUCUAAAUAUUCCUUUAAUGUCAUUAUAAAUCUUUACCUGUCUAAAUUUUUUCUGUUGAUUCAAAGUGAGGAGAAGUAAAAAGCAAAGUUCAAUCUCUAUGAAGCUGUGUCUAACAGAAGAAUGAAGACUCAGGGAGCAUAACCCAGAAAAAAAAAAAAUUGUUUCUCCCUCUACCUCCUUCCUUUUUUUUCAUUAUCAGGUUAGUUAACAUUCAGUAUAGUCUUUCAGGAAUAGAACCCAGUGACUCAUCUCUUAUAUAUGACACCCAGUGCUCAUCCCAAGAAGUGCCCUCCUUAAUGCCCAUCACCCAUUUAACCCACUUCCUUCCAUCAACCCUCAGUUUACUUCUGUAUUUAAGAGUCUCUUAUGGUUUGCCUCCCUCUUUGUUUUUAUCUUAUUUUUCUUUCCUUUCCCAAUGUUCAUCUGUUAAGUUUCUCAGAUUCCACACAGGACUGAAAUCAUACGUCUUUCUCUGACUUAUUUUGCUUAGUAUAAUACCCUCCAGUUCCAUCCACUUUGUUACAAAUGGCAAGAUUUCAUUGUUUUUCAUUGCCAAGUAGUAUUCCAUUGUGUAUGUAUACCACAUCUUAAUCCAUUCAUCAGUUGAUGGACAUUUGGGCUCUUUCCAUAAUUUGCCUAUUGUUGAUAGUGCUGCUAUAAAAAUUGGGGUGCAUGUGCCCCUUUGAAUCAGCAUUUUUGUAUCCUUUGGAUAAAUUCCUAGUAGUAUAAUUGCUGGGUCACAGGGUAGUUCUACUUUUAAUUUUUUGAGGAAUUUCCACACUCUUUUCUCCCUCCAUCUCCUUCUUAACUGGCAUAAUCACUUAUUCCAGUCUUCAAAAUGAAGUUUCUUUGUUCAGAGUAGGUUGUACCUUUCAGUCCUCAUAGAAAUUAUAGAUUCAAGUUUUUUAUCUUCCUAUUGUGCACCAUACUAAAAGUGUGUUGCUUCAAAUGCCACUUCAGGUACAAAUGCCAGACACUGUGAGCACAGUCUUUUCAAUGACUAAGACCUUUAGACUCUGCCUGAUCCUCACAGAGCCAGUAACAGCCACUAGAUGACACCAACAGAAAGUAGAAGACUACAUUUUAUGAUAUAUUUCAAUAAGGUUCCAAAUAAAAUGGGGUGAGGGGAGGAGCUUUCUGUUCAACUGAAAGUUAACCAAAACACUCAAACCUAGAAUUAAAAAGUCAAAUAUUUAAUGCACCCCUAAUAUGUGCUUGCCUUCCAGCAUUCUAGUUAAUCAAGGCUUGAACCAUUUUAGAAAUCAGUCUACCAUAGACUUCAUCUUCCAUAGUUACUGCCAAUCUCAGUGUGGCCUUGACUUCUGAGCCAACAGUUAUAUAAUUUGCUACCUAGAUGUUCUUGUGACAAAUAGCUUUUGUGCAAUAUUUUAAUUUUUAGCAUUAUUUAGAUUUAAGAACCAUCUGGUUUGGAGGCACUGCAAGUUAUAAGGAAAGCUCUAGAAAUACUCUUUGAAAAAACAGACAGGGUUGGCUAGUAUUUCCUAGAAUGAUUUAGGUACAAUCACAGACACAAGCAAAUUGAAAUCAAUAUAUUAUAUUACUAAAGCAUUUAAACAUAUGCUGCCCUAAAACUGCAACCACUCAAUAGAUUCAUCAUGUCUUAGGGCAGCAAAGAAAUUGAAGAAAAUGGAGUUUUAAGGAAAAAACUAAAAGCAACUCACCUGUACUGCAUAUUUGUAAAACUGUUCUGAUAGUUCUCCUAGCUCCUCCCUAGUUUUACAGGUGUUGGGAAAUUCCUCAAGCCGGUCCAACUGUUCCACUUCGGCAACAGGAUAUGGCUUCUCCUUCAAGACCUGCACAAUCUGGAAACGGCACAGGCCUGUAAUCAGCAAAGUAUAGUGGGGCUUGGGCCAGUUGCUGCCUACAACCUGAACCGCCAGGGCAGCCGUCCCAAUCCUGAAAAACACACAAAACAGCAGCAUUACAAAUGUUCAGUGUGGUAAAACUGACCCUUGCCUCAAAAGGUUGCCUUUGUUGAGAAAUCCUUUAAAGAACAAAGAACAUCUGAAGUGGAAAUGAUUUCUCUAAUUUAGCAUCCAGCACAUGGUCUAUGAAGUCAUUACCAUGAGCAGGGGGGGCAAAGCAGGCCAUCUCAUUCUAAUUACUACCUCCUUUAAGAUUAGGUAGAAAUUCCUAAAAAUAAAAAUGUAAAAGUAGUUGACAAUUACAUAGCUUAAAUUCAUUUUGCUAGGAAUUAGGCAAUAUUAUACCAGAAUACUAGCAUUUUAAACAGACUGAAAUAUAAACAGCAUGAUGUUAAACCAACCUAAGAAAUCUGUUCUAAUAACCAGUUUUGCUAACAACAUCAAGCCAGGUUUUUUUACAGAAUCAAUUACUGAAACUUCCACUUAUCUACCUUAUCACAAACUGUCACCAAAUCUGAAAAUUAACAUCUAUGUCCAUGAAUAUGAAAUUUCUAAAUGUGGGGACUAAAUAUUAGAGGGCACACACUGUCAUGAAUGAUUAAAGUUAUAAACCUAAACCUAAGUGGUAAACACCCCAUCUAAUACUAACUAAAAAAGUUCUAUUUAAGUCUUAGCUCCUUAUCAGAACAUAGAAUUCUGACCAAGUCACAUAUAACCUUAAUUCAUGGAAAGGAAGUCUCACCCAAACUAAGCCAAAAUUAUACAAAAUACAAAGCUCCACAUUCAGAAGACACGUCUAAAUCCUAAACUAAAAUUAUAUCUUCUCCCCUCAGCCACAGGAAGGGUUGCAAUUUCAGGAAAGAAACGAAGUAAGGUGACUAGAACUCCCAACACCCUGGGGAAAUGGUAAUCCUGGAAUAUCGCAACUGCCCAUCUCAAACAUACUGAAUCACACACAGUGUGAAUAUUUCAGUGAAUUUGCUUACUUCUAUACACUAUUUAUUCUUGACUACUUCCUUAUAAAUUAUUCAUUCCAUAGAUUAUGUGGAACUUUUGGCUUCCCUCUGCCAUUCAGUUUAUUUUGAGUGAUGUCCAACUUUCCUUCACCCUUUCAGUCAUAUCAUGUGUACAUGGAUAAAAACUGAUUCAAAUGGUAUCCAAACCCAAAAAAUCAGGAAGAUAAUUUGGUGGGAAGAAAAAAUAUGAUAUACUUUAAAAAACCUAAGAUAAUUUGGCAAGUCCCUAUUGUUUUAUUUGUGUUGUGGCUGCUUUUCUUCAGUCAUAAAUGGUAGUAGGCUAUACCUCCCACUUCCUGAAAACCAACUCAGAUUGCCUGAGAAAGUUAGCAAUACCUGAACUGAUCAGAGACCAAAACUACAAUUCCCUUCGGAUGACGACCAUCAAUGCUUGCGCAAUGCAGAGAGGUCACAGUUCUGUCUGCCAGCAACAUUAACAGACAACAAACAAACUGGAUCCGUGGCCUAAGGAGUCUGCAAACUGGAAACCAAGGAGAACCCAAAGUGAUAUGAGACAAGUCCAAACGUUCAGAUUAGGAGAUAAAUUUUCAUUAUUUGAGCCAUGUCCUUGAUUAAAGUGAGACUAAAAAUGAGUUUUCUUACAAAGCAAGCAGAAUACUUUCACUAACUGUGAAAGGAAGAUGUUUCAGACUGAAAAGAGAUCGAGUUGGAUUUAUACAAUGCCUCUCCUCCUAAUGAGAUAAAAUAUAUAAAGGUUUUACAUUCGUUAAUUGGGUUUUACUUUAAAUCACUUAUAGCUGACUAGAAUGUACCCUUUUUAAAGAAAAAACAUGAUCUGUGAAAUGAUAGGUGGUUAGAAAGAGUAUCUGGUGAAAGACAUUUUGGGUGGAAAGCUCUUGUGAAAAAGGACCAUGUUUAAUGUUAUUUUAGACAAGUUUUAUUGUAUUGGGGCAAUAGUUUAUACAUAUAUAGGUAAUAAGUAAAUAAAAUAUUUAAUUAAUCUAAUAUGUUCCUACUAUGAUAACAGGCUUUGAAUUAAAUCAGUCAUCUUUCUAAAUAUUCUAGUUCUUCUAUUAAUAUUUGCUUUAUUAGGCUUGACCAAAAGGCAACAUUCUGAUUUUCAUACAUUCAAAUGAGUAGUGUUCCUUCCCUUUAGGUAGUAGGCUCUGUAAAUCCACACUUUAAUUACUGUGAUAUUUUAUAGUUCAAAGAAUUUUUGAAAGUCCUAACUGGGACCUCCUUUCAGAGUUGUAAAAUAUUGUUUUAAUCCAAACAAAGUCUGAUUAGGAUGGGUAUGAUUUAUGUACUUUGAAAACGGACUUAGAUAAUUUAAGAGUUCCAAAAAUAUUUGAGAACUAUCAACUGUAGUGGUGGGAAAACCUAAAAGCAGCACUACAGUUUUCUAAGAUGAGUGUUGUGUAAAUACCCAUACUCUGGUUUAUAUGCCAACCACUUUCUUUUCUUUUUUCUUUUUUUUUUUACUUUAAAGCUCUCCACCUUUAUUGGAAUCUUCAAUCUUCCAAAUCUUUUUCUGUAAUGACACUAGUUUAGUUCUGGCCAUGUUGAAAGAAUAUGGGGCCUCCCCCAAUCUCCAUUUGUGAAACUUACAUAUAAAACUAUACCUAUUUGGGGAAAAAUAA
Long non-coding RNA from Acinonyx jubatus (cheetah), 5278 nucleotides. RefSeq lists it as uncharacterized. Lineage: Eukaryota; Metazoa; Chordata; Mammalia; Carnivora; Felidae. The transcript is spliced from 2 exons. The record is from RefSeq and is a predicted model, not a curated record.